GACGAACGCUGGCGGCGUGCCUAAUACAUGCAAGUAGAACGCAGUUGCGAACGGGUGAGUAACGCGUAGGAAACUGCCUCAUAGCGGGGGAUAACUAUUGGAAACGAUAGCUAAUACCGCAUAUUGUUAUACGGACCUUCGUUGUAUUGGCUAGUUGGUGAGGUAAAGGCUCACCAAGGCGACGAUACAUAGCCGACUUGGGAGGGUGAUCGGCCAAACUGGGACUGGGACACGGCCCAGACUCCUACGGGAGGCAGCAGUAGGGAAUCUUCGGCAAUUGACGGAAGUCUGACCGAGCAACGCCGCGUGAGUGAAGAAGGUUUUCGGAUCGUAAAGCUCUGUUGUUAGAGAAGCGGUACCUAACCAGAAAGGGACGGCUAACUACGUGCCAGCAGCCGCGGUAAUUC
This 407-nucleotide ribosomal RNA is filed under the name uncultured bacterium. RNAcentral's name for it is "partial 16S ribosomal RNA". It matches the Rfam family "Bacterial small subunit ribosomal RNA", at positions 28 to 526 of the family's 1533-position model. The record is from RNAcentral.